GGGAUGUGGGGUUCUCUGUGUGUGUCUUCUUGUAUUUACUUUUUAGCUUGUAGAAUAGAUGUCCGCUUGUAGGACAGAUGGCGUGACCGGAUCGGUCCUUAUAAGGCAGACAAUGUGAAUGGUGGAAGAGAGAGCACAGGAAAAAUGAAGAUAAAAUAUUAUCUGAGAUAACACACCUGCGACCGAAGGGAGAGCCAGUUUGAACCCAUUUUCAGGGCAAGGCCGAAGGCGGCAGGAGAGAGUACCAGACACUCAUUGUUCGGGGAAGGCGUUUGUUACAGAAGGAUGAACUGGGUUGAACCAACGUUCAAGGGCACCAGAGGGAUUAAAACAGUGGAUUCUUCUAUCAACCAACUCGGGUGGAUAAGGAAUAUCCUAACAAUUUUGGGGGCUCGUCCGGGAUAGGAGUUUUCCUGCAGGGGGAAUUCGGUCCAAGAGCUUUCACCUGCUGAACACUGCGUACUCCCAGGCCGGCCUCAAAACAAGGUAAGCAGAAACCUGUUACUAAUUCUGCAUAUUGAUUAAUCUAAAAUAAGGAGUACGCUGUGGAUUGGUGGUGAAGGAACCAAAUUGAUACAUGAGCAAUUCGCUAAAGUUAAUAUUAAGGAAACCGGUAAAAGUGCACAACAAUAGUACCGGCGAGUACUAUUGGGUUUAGUAGGUACCGGCGAGUACCAAGGGAUCUUCUAUCCGACACAAAUUAAAGGAUCAGGGAUCCUAUUGGGUUUAGUAGGUACCGGCGAGUACUAUUGGGUUUAGUAGGUACCGGCGAGUACCAAGGGAUCUUCUAUCCGACACAAAUUAAAGGAUCAGGGAUCCUAUUGGGUUUGGUGGGUACCGGCGAGUACCAAGGGAUCAAUGAUCUGACACAAAUAAAAGGAUUUUGAAUCCUAGUCUUUGGUUUGGCAACCCCAUCAGUUCCUGACGAGGGCUGAAGUCGCUAGGUGAGUGUCCUGGGGAUUUGAGGACCCCCGAAAACUGGUCUUUGGUUUGGCAACCCCAUCAGACCCUGACGAGGGCUGAAGUCGCUAGGUGAGUGUCCUGGGGAUUUGAGGACCCCCGAAAACUGGUCUUUGGUUUGGCAACCCCAUCAGACCCUGACGAGGGCUGAAGUAGCUAGGUUGGAGUCCUGGGGAUUUGAGGACCCCCGAAUCCCAGGGUUGGAGUCCCUAGGAGUAAAAGCUCCUUAAAUCCUGGGCUGCAGUCUCUGAGCAGCUCGUGUGUGUGUGUGUGUGUGUGUGUGGGUGCAAGCAAGCAGGAGAGUGAAAAAAGAAAAAAAAAAAAAAAAGAGGGGAAACUGAGAACAUAGACGGUCCGAGAGGUUAAUAUAAACUUUCGGUGUAAUACAUUGAUGACCGAGAGGUUAACAUAAACUUUCGGUGUAAUACAUUGAUGACCGAGAGGUUAACAUAAACUUUCGGUGUAAUACAUUGAUUCUCGGAAGGUUAAGAUAAACUUCCGUUAUAAUGCAUUGAUUUCGAAGGGUUAAAAUAAACCUUCGUUACAAUAAAAGAAUUCUGGAAGUAUAACAUAAGUUCUCAGAACAAACGGGGAAGCUUGCUGGAGCUGCGGAGAACAUUUACUGUGUCACACUGAGGUGACCAGCUGUCCGAGCGGGUUAAAGCGAUAUAACUGGGAACUGUUGUUGGAAUGGAAGAUGAAUAUGAUCGGGAAACUGUUGACGGCGGCUGGGGGCCAGCGCCGGGGUAUCGAUGGAAAAUAAUAAACGACCAGCUGAGGCUGUUGUUGGUGGCGGUGGGUGGAGAAACCAGCGGGAAAAAGAAGCAUGAGGCUGUGGAGCGCACGGAACGCGCGGUGAGAAAGUUGUUAGAAAAGAAAGGCGUUAGUUUGGCAGACAGGCUGUCACUGGCGCAGAUUUUGUGGGAGAAGGAGAGAGCUUGUAGAGAAGAAAAGAAGGAGCUUGAGUCGAAACGCGAGAAGGCGAGUGUGUUGAAAAAAGGAAAACUUCGUAAAGAGAUGGAGGAUGUGGAGGACAUGAGGUCCGCAUUGUUUUCGUACUGGAUAAAAAGUAAAGCCGUGGGGAGAAAUAACCAGGAACGGUGUAAUGAGGAAAGACCACCGGCAUACGAUGUUGAAAUAAACGGUGUGAAUUCGGCUUCUGCACCUGCUGGGUUGUAUCCUGUAUUAAAUAUAACGGGGGGAGAGUUGGAAGUUGAAGAAAGUGUACCACUGCGGGGUUGUCGGGGCAACGAGGUAACGGGGGAAAGCCGGCCUUUCGAAGCGCGUCAAAAUCGGGAGGGGUUUAAAGAAUGGACGGACUCACGCACUCCGGGGAGAAGGGACAGCUCAGAAGUGCAGCGGAGAAAUAAGGCGGAUAAGGGAAAGUAUUUAGCCGGGGCGAAUGAGCGGGUGAAAACACAAUUGAGAUACGGGGAAUCACCAGACUUGGGGGAGAGAGGAAAAAAAGGCUCUGCCUCGGCUCAGGAGGAGCAAAACGGGGAAUGCGGGGAUAACAGCGACCCAGAGAUUCACGGGGAACCGGGAAAAAUGUAUCCGUUAUUCAUGUCUUCUCGAGGGGUUAAUAAAUACAAGCCGUGGUCGCUGGGAGACGUGUCCGCUCUAGUCGCGCAAAUGCCUGCACCAUCUGAAGGGGGAGAUAAGUGGCUAAAACAACUCGAUACGCUUACUAACGGACACACGCUGGCGCUCGGCGACUUUAGGGCUGUAGCAGCCAGAUGCAUGACCGCACAUGAUUUAGCGGACGUGGAAAACAGAGCGGGGGUGACCCGACAAGCCGAUGACGACAGAUUUUUGUAUUUCGCGACGGAGAUCGGGGACGCAAUGCGCGAGAAAUGGCCACUUCUAAUGUCGACUAAAAUACCGAAAUUACCAUGGGACGCGAAGAAAACCCCGCGCGCGUAUUUGGACGAAUGUAAAGAGACCUGGGUAAAAAGCACUAGCCAUCAUCCGGGAACGGAGGGCAUACAGAGAGAAUGGUUCAGACAGGCGGUGCUGGAGGGAGUACCAGAGGGGGUAAAAGCUAAAAUGAUCACUAAUCCAGACUUGCCAGGAAGUGAAUCUGCUGUGUGGGAAAGACAUUUACUGCACCAUUUACAGGACGCGACUGAGGAAGCGACAGGGGAAGAGAAGCAGCUAAAAGAAUUACAGGCUCAGCUUCUUAGGCUUCAGCUCACUAAGGUCAAACAGGAAGUGAGCGACAAGAAGCAGAAAGGGAAAGACGAGCGACAGAUGACAGUCCAGGCUGCCCCAGCUGAAGGUAACGCCCCAGAUUUGUAUCCACUCCCACCAUGGGAGGAGACGUCGUAUGGGACAGCCCAGGGGUGGGGCCCAAACCGAGGGGGCGGUUAUCGGGGAGGUUACAGAAGUAAUUACAGGGGUGGCGCUGGUCGGAGAGGAUCAUACGGUGGGGGAGGAGAAAGAGGCGGCUACCAAGGGAGAGACGCUUGUUUCAACUGUGGUAUGGAGGGGCACUGGCGCAUGGAGUGUCCUAGCAAAAAGAAGAGACAGGGGAGGGGCAGGGGUGUCCCGUCUCGGGGGGCUUGGGCCCCCAAUCCACAUGCUGCGCCACCUAGGGGACAAUACCCUGCACUGGAGGACUGGGGCCAUGAGGCGGAUGCCUCUCAGUGACACACCCCAAUGGGAGACUCCGACAGCAGGGGCAGGGCAGACCCCAUGCUGUCACUCACAGUACUGCAACAACAACUUCCAUUUCUCGUUGACACUGGGGCCACAUACUCCACCAUACAAGCAGCGGGCUCGUCUGCUAUGUCCAAAGACAGUGUCAGCGUUAUGGGAUUCUCCGGGGUGUCACAGAAACUGCCUAUAACAGUCCCCCUACCGGUGAAAGUGGGAAAUCAGACAUUGACUCACUCUUUUGUUGUCUCACCUCAAGUUCCAGUGAAUCUUAUGGGAAGGGAUCUUCUCAUCAAAACAGGGGCUUCAAUCUUGUGCGGCCCGGACGGACUGAGUGUCACAUUGCUGGAUGGAACUGUGUUGCAUUGCAAUGACAAUGGACAGACUAAUGGCCAGUGGGUGAUGCAGCCACUGCAACAACAACAGUGCGCAGACAUUUACUGGGGCCUCCUAAAGCCUGAGUGUCCUGACAUCCCGGGGGUGAUGGCUCUUUACCAAAAGUGGAAGCCUUGGAUAACUCUUCUUGAUCCGUGUCCAGAGACCACGGAAGGGAGAAGACCGACCAUCCCCACACAGCUAUCCUUCUUGAGAAACUUCCAGACUACCUCUGGUCCGAAGGCCCGACGGACAUUUUGCGGUCCAGGUGCAAGACAGAACCGGAGGGCAGAACACCCCUGAUCCCCACACAACAGCCUGGGUCCUCCUGAGGGUCAUUAAGAGGAAGUGGUCGGAGCCACGGUGGACAGGACCAUACCAGGUGGAGGAGAGAACCUCACACGCUGUGAGGCUGAGAGGGAAAGGGGACACCUGGUACCACUGGAGCCAGUGCGCCCCCGCGGACGAACCGGGUCGCACUCUUCAGGACAUCCUGACAACGCAGCAGAAAGAGACGGAACUGGGCGCUGGAUAGUGCCCGGACGUGCUCUCGGCGGGCAGUGACCGACAGACACCCAGUGCAUGGUGUUCUGUGUUGACUGUCUACAACAAAAGAAGAAGACCAGCGACGAAGAAAUGCACAAUGCUAUCCUCUCCUCUCCUCUGUUCUAUCUUUCUCAAUUCUCCGCAGUUAGUUUAGUUGAAAUAGAGAAUGUUGAGCACGCUUAAUAUUUCCAUAAUUGCUAUGGGGGGGGUAACGGUUGUUAUUGCAUUAGCUCUUAUAUACUUAGCUGUCACAGGUUCCACCUUGUUUGUUUGAGUGUUAUUACAGUGUUGAUACUAUAUAGCUUGGGUUGUUUUUGGGUAUAUCUUUCUGUGAGUUGUUUGUGUAAUCUAGUGGAAAGGAAGCGAGCCACAGUAAGCGACAGAACCAACACUUGGGGGUCCCUUCUCAAAGUCAGACACGAAAAGACAGGGCGUGGUGUAAGGUAAGAGGUUUAAAGGUCCGGGGGGAGGCCCUCCUCCAUCAGUAUCACAACAGACCGGCAUGAUGGGCAACGGCUCCAGGGGUGGAGGACUCUUUAGCGACCUUUGUGGGCAUACUCGUCACUUGCGGUUGUUGUUUUAUUCCCUGUGCCAGAGCGCUCUGUUUACGCCUUAUCUCCACAGCGAUUCAACCUGAGGGGGGGAACAUGAUGCCAUUGUUGGCCUUGAAGGGCGUAGAGGACUUAGAGGAGGAGGUCGACCCGGCAGACUUACUCCAUUAGUUAGGGUGAUCUCUGUAAGAGAUCAAAAGGGGGAAAUUGUGGGAUGUGGGGUUCUCUGUGUGUGUCUUCUUGUAUUUACUUUUUAGCUUGUAGAAUAGAUGUCCGCUUGUAGGACAGAUGGCGUGACCGGAUCGGUCCUUAUAAGGCAGACAAUGUGAAUGGUGGAAGAGAGAGCACAGGAAAAAUGAAGAUAAAAUAUUAUCUGAGAUAACACACCUGCGACCGAAGGGAGAGCCAGUUUGAACCCAUUUUCAGGGCAAGGCCGAAGGCGGCAGGAGAGAGUACCAGACACUCAUUGUUCGGGGAAGGCGUUUGUUACAGAAGGAUGAACUGGGUUGAACCAACGUUCAAGGGCACCAGAGGGAUUAAAACAGGUCAGUGCCAGAAGGCAGGCGGACUUUGGAAGGGAUUUGCUUGCGAUGCGUAUUUCAUUGUCUCCAGAUAUAUCUGCGGAGAAUUGCUCAUGUACAACUUUUUCUCUUCUAAAUAAAUGUUAAACUUUUUAA
Pungitius pungitius (ninespine stickleback) is the source of this 5764-nucleotide RNA transcript. RefSeq lists it as uncharacterized. The record is from RefSeq and is a predicted model, not a curated record. Lineage: Eukaryota; Metazoa; Chordata; Actinopteri; Perciformes; Gasterosteidae. The transcript has 4 exons.